Molecule: ribosomal RNA, 895 nt
Filed under: uncultured archaeon
Lineage: Archaea
Description: bacterial SSU rRNA
Rfam family: Archaeal small subunit ribosomal RNA
Source: RNAcentral
ACCUGACUGCUAUCGGAUUGAUACUAAGCCAUGCGAGUCAUUGUAGCAAUACAAGGCAUACGGCUCAGUAACGCGUAGUCAACCUAACCUAUGGACGGGAAUAACCUCGGGAAACUGAGAAUAAUGCCCGAUAGAACAUUAUACCCGGAAUGGUUUAUGUUCCAAAUGAUUUAUCGCCAUAGGAUGGGACUGCGGCCUAUCAGUUUGUUGGUGAGGUAAUGGCCCACCAAGACUAUUACAGGUACGGGCUCUGAGAGGAGUAACCCGGAGAUGGGUACUGAGACAAGGACCCAGGCCCUAUGGGGCGCAGCAGGCGAGAAAACUUUGCAAUGUGCGAAAGCACGACAAGGUUAAUCCGAGUGAUUUCUGCUAAAGAAAUCUUUUGCAAGUCAUAAAACCACUAGUGAAUAAGGGGUGGGCAAGUUCUGGUGUCAGCCGCCGCGGUAAAACCAGCACCUCAAGUUGUCAGGAGGAUNAUUGGGCCUAAAGCAUCCGUAGCCGGCUCUGUUAGUUUUCGGUUAAAUCCAUAUGCUCAACAUAUGGGCUGUCGGAAAUACUGCAGAGCUAGGGAAUGGGAGAGGUAGACGGUACUCGGUAGGAAGGGGUAAAAUCCUUUGAUCUAUUGAUGACCACCUGUGGCGAARGCGGUCUACCAGAACAUGUUCGACGGUGAGGGAUGAAAGCUGGGGGAGCAAACCGGAUUAGAUACCCGGGUAGUCCCAGCUGUAAACGAUGCAGACUAGAUGAUGCAUUAGCAUAUAGCUAGUGCGGUGUCUCAGGGAAACCGUUAAGUCUGCCGCCUGGGAAGUACGUACGCAAGUAUGAAACUUAAAGGAAUUGGCGGGGGAGCACCACAAGGGGUGAAGCCUGCGGUUCAAUUGGAUUCAACGCCGGA